ACAUAAUCCCCAACCCUGGGUAGCAAGGGCAGCGGAUAGGGGAUUUCACUAAAGCCGCAGGCUGGCUGCCUGCACCUGCAGGGUGGCGUGGGCUCAGUAGGUGGCGCUCUUGCCCCUCCAUCCUUCAUCCAUUUAUGUACAAGUUUAGUUGGUUGAUUUUUAAUCCGUUGCUUUCAGUCAUGCACACAAACACCCUGCAUGGGCGGCAGCACGAGCUCUGAAAAGCUACACGUGGCCUUUCCAUCUCCCAGCCAGCUGAGGCCCUGCCCUUAUCAGUUGUAGGCUUAAGGGUUUGUUGAGAUAAUUGUUAAGAGCAGAGCUGGGCUUCCCAGGUGGCAAUAAUGGUAAAGAACCUGCCCGCCAAUGCAAGAGACAUGAAACUCAGGCUUGAUCCCUGGGUUAGGAAGAUCCUCUGGAGGAGGGCAUGGCAACCCACUCCAGUGUUCUUGCCUGGAGAAUCCCAUGGACAGAGGAGCCUGGCGGGCUACAGUCCAUGGGGUCGCUCAGAGUUGGACACGAGUGAAGUAACAGCACACACAAGAGAAAGAAGCCAAUCUGAAAAGACUAUAUUCUCUGUGAUCCCAACUCUGUGACGUUCUCGAAAGGCAAAUAUGGACACAGUAAAAAGCCAUGAGCCAAAACUUAAUUUUAUCUCUCGGAACGUUUCAUCAAGCACCUAUAUAUGCCAGGCCCCUCGCCAAGCGCUGGAAACACAAGGUCCAGCUCUGGAGUGUGGAGUCCAGUGAAGAGACAGCGGCACAGAAGGCAGAGGGCUUGUAUCCCUCGCGGGCUGCAGGUGUCAGACGCAGCCCACCUGUGAGGAGUUCAGCGCAGUUUUCAACCCGAUAAGGUGCUUUGCAGCUGUUAGACCUGAACUUUUGAGUCUGUUUAAAGAGCAUCUUGGGCGAGCUUGUUGAGACCUGGAAAGGCCCAGGAGUCAUGGCACCUCCUUGUUCCCCAACCAGGGAUCAAACCGACGCCCCUGCAUUGGAAGCAUGGAGUCUUAACCACAGGACCGUCAGGGAGGUCCCCCAUACAGCUUUUCGCCAAGUAUUUGGCACAGAUGAAAACACAAGGAGGAAUGACACGCGGCCGCCCCAUAAUUGUGGGGCCUUCUCCAGUGGACCAUGAUCUAUUUACUGAGAAUUUUUUAAUAAAUAAACCACAGCCUUGAACCCUUGUGCCCUUAUAAACCAGUUGGUUCUCAUGGGGAGAGUUCAGGAGUUUUUAUGGAGCAAUAGUAUGUUCUCAUGAGAAUUUUAUUAGAAAUCAGAGACUUGAAAUGCAUCAAGCAGGAAAUUUAUGAGGUUACAUGGGAACCAUCCCUUCAUUUUGUCAUUCUGGGUUAAUUUACUUCUUCGUAGUGUGUUGAUUUACUUUGUAAAUUUCAGUCAUGAAUUCUAAGCUUCUCAGCAAAUUUAAGCCUGCUCAUCAAUAUCUUGAACUUCUCCCAUUUUUUAUCCUUAAAAUAAGAUAGCUAAUUAUUGAUAGCCUAUAUAAGAAAGUCCAAACAUCUAUGGGAAGCACAUAUUCCUGGGCAGAAAUGUGUCCAAGCAGGUCUUUCCAAAUGCCAAGGAAUAAACAGAGCUUAGAGAAAAACAUUUUUAUAACCUACAUGCAAUUCUUUAUGUCUUGAACUUUUCCACUUAAUAGUUUCUCCAAAUAAUGUUUUUAAUUGUGUUUUGCAAAGUACCCAGUUAAAAUUUCACUCAUAAAAAAAAAAAAAACAAGCUUGUUUAUUAUCAUGUAACACAACUUGGAAAAUAGCCCAAACCCAGAAUAGAUGUUUGUGUGCUGGUGAAGUGGGGAGGAAGUGUUCUAAACAAGUUUUUCGUCUGGGCCCAUUCCAACAUUUCAUUAAUUGUGUGUUGAUGGUGUGAGGAAAGAGGGCAGGCCAGGACUGGCCUUGGCUGGAGCCAAGAAAGUGAGUGAGGAACCCCAGGAA
Long non-coding RNA from Bos taurus (domestic cattle), 1945 nucleotides. Lineage: Eukaryota; Metazoa; Chordata; Mammalia; Artiodactyla; Bovidae. The record is from Ensembl.